RNAcentral lists this ribosomal RNA (279 nucleotides) under uncultured Desulfosarcina sp. RNAcentral describes it as "partial 16S ribosomal RNA". It matches the Rfam family "Bacterial small subunit ribosomal RNA", at positions 521 to 798 of the family's 1533-position model. The record is from RNAcentral. Lineage: Bacteria; Pseudomonadati; Thermodesulfobacteriota; Desulfobacteria; Desulfobacterales; Desulfosarcinaceae.
UCCUACGGGGGGCUGCAAGCGUUAUUCGGAAUCAUUGGGCGUAAAGAGCACGUAGGCGGCCUGGUAAGUCAGAUGUGAAAGCCCGGGGCUUAACCCCGGAAGUGCAUUUGAUACUGUCAGGCUUGAGUAUGGGAGAGGGAAGUGGAAUUCCUGGUGUAGAGGUGAAAUUCGUAGAUAUCAGGAGGAACACCGGUGGCGAAGGCGACUUCCUGGACCAAUACUGACGCUGAGGUGCGAAGGCGUGGGUAGCAAACAGGAUUAGAUACCCCAGUAGUCAAG